UCCUACUGCUGGAGAUGAAGAAGAAUCUGAGAAGUCAGUAUCUGAGGUGAAUGAUGAGGAUGAUGAUGAGGAGGGCAGUGGCGAGGUUUCUUUUUAUUCUUUUUUGCGUCAUUGCCUUGUGGUUUGUGGUAAUUAUUUGCAUGAUAUUUACUUGGUAUUGUUUAUUUCAUGCAGGAGGAGGAUGAUGAUUAGAGAGUGGACUGAUAACAAUUUAUGUAGGUUUUGAUGAUUUGGAUCAUCUUUUGUAGGUGGUCUGGUCAUUUCCUGAUGAUAAACAAACAUGUUUCUUUCUUCCAGAAAAAUAUUUCUCUGCUCCCUCCGUAAAAUUGUUUUGUCUGUCCAAAACGUGAAUAGUUGAAAGAUGGGAGAUCUUUAUUUGUACUUCUAAAUCCAACUGCUUAGUUAAGGGGUGCUUAUCUUUUGUAGAGCUUUUAGUUUGAUUUAGUUCUCUUGUUGAAAUCUGGUUAAGUUUGUAUGAAUAUAAUUGGCUUAUCUUCCCAUUUCUGCUGUAUAUAUACAUAUGCUAUGAUGCGUCACACUUCAUUCAUGUUGCUGUGCUGUAUGUUUUGUUUUUUUUUUUUGUGAUUUUAAUGUUUUGGGUGUUGUGUUCUGCACCUGAUGUAUGUGUUUUUUCAAUUUAAUGUUGCAUUGUAUCAACAUUCAUACGUGUUUUUCUAUUUGAAGUUGAAUUAUCUCAACAUUUAUUUUGAACUAAUGUUUGGCGAUAUUAAAACGUAGUUUUAAAACGAUAAAAGUUGCUGCUUUAAAAUGUAAUUGAUUAGUGUUGCUUUAAAACGAUAAAAGUUGCUGCUUUAAAAUGUAAUUGAUUAGUGUUGCUUUAAAACGUAAUUUUAAUAAAACUUUAUCGAAAUUUUAUAAUGGUGAGGUAUAUCCUUCAUCGUGUAAUCAGUUUACAUGUGUAUUUUUGUUGUUGUUGGAUCAUUUGACGAAUUUUGACUGAUGAUGAUGGUUGAUUGUAUAGUGUUUGUUGGUACUUUUCCAGUCAUGUAAUGCAUAAAAGCAUGAUCUCACAGAUUAACUGUUUCUAUUUUAUAUACAAAAGUUGUUUGUAGUUUUUCUUUCUUGUAAAAGUAUAUUUUGAAUAUUUUUCCGUUGGAAUUGUUCUAUACUUGUACUAUAAUUAUUUCAUAUACUUAAAUUUGAUCCAUUUAUAAUCCCUAUAGAAGACAAUUUAAUAUACUUUUGAUGUAUAUUAAUAUUUAUAAAAAAUAUCUUAAGUAAUUAUUUUUUAAGAACAUAUUUUUAUAAAAGAAAUUAGAUAUUAGUCUUCUGUUUGUUAUCUAUAUUAUAAUCUAGGUCGUAUUAUUUGGUUAGGGUUUUUUUGUAAUUUUAGCAAAUGUUUAAAUGUAUAGACAUGAAUAUGUAAUGGUAGUUGGGUAUUAAAUGUAUUCGCAUAAAUAUGUAAUGGCAGUUGGAUAUUAAAUAUAUAGUCAUUAAUUUGUAAAUCUGACUAUUGGAUAUUUAAGUAUACAAUCAUACAUACGCAAUAUUUAGUUAUAAAUUUUCAAAUUGACCAUGAAAUUAUUAAGAAUGCAAUUAAAUUAAUUUAAUGAGUUGAACUAUAUGUGUUUGUAUUUGAAGUAGUUUUUGAAUAUUUGAAGUAGUUUUUGAUUUAUUUUUGUGUAUAGAAUGAACAUUUUAGUAAUUUAGCAUAUUUUAAUAUUGUAUUAUAUUAGUGCAAAUUGUUCUGUUCCUUUUAAAACUCAUACCAUAAGAUUUGUGUUUGGAUUGGUUGUGAAUUUUGUUAAAUUAUUUGUGUUAUAAUAUUCUUUUUUAUCUUGUUUAAAUAUAUAUAUAUAUAUAUAUAUAUAAAUAAAAAUAUAUAUUUUAAAAAUUGAAAAUAUAUAUUGUGUGUUGUUUUAGUGUGAUUAAAAUGAUUUUUUUGAAUAAAUUUCUGAUAUUUCAAUUUUCUUUUGUAUAUGAUAUUUUGAUUUAGUUAUAUCAUUUGUUGGUUUUUCAUAUAUUUGUCAAUAUAAGGUUAUAAUGUAAUUAUAUUAUAACAUUUUUUAUAAUUAUUAUUUUUAUAUAUAAAGGGAUUUCCUUUUAACUGUUUUUUUUUUUAUAAAUUUUAUCCUCAUAUUAAUAUUUAUUUUAUUAUUUUAUCAUUCUUCUGAGUAGUUACUAAAUAUAUUAUGAUUUUUAUAAAAUUAUAUUUUGAAAACUAUUCUUUUUUCUUUUUAAAACUAAUAUUUUAAAAAAAUUAAUAUCUGUUGAGUUUUCUUUUUUUUUUUUACAUGUUUUUUAUUAUUUUAUUUAAUUAUUAUUUUGUAACUACUUGAAUUUGAAAUGGUAAAAUUAAAAAAUAUUACUUAAAUUGAAAAUUGAGAAAAAAAAACUAAUUGAAACAUCAGAAAUAUAUAAAAAAUUCUUUCUUUAAAUGUUUUUAAGUAUAUACAAUUUUAUUCCUAUAGGUAAAUAUCAAUAAAUUUGUUUAGAAGAUCGAAAAAGAGAUAUUUAAAAGAAUAAAGAGUAGGAGGAAGAAAGGAUGAUGGUUUGUUUUGAUGAGAAUAGAAGAGGUAAAUGAGGGUGUAAAACACAGGAAAAUUUCCUGUUUAUAAACACAGAAAAAAAAAAAAACGAAAAUCAGUGUCGUAUUUCGCUCUUUGCUUUCGUACACCUCGUCUUCCACGGCACACUCAUUUUGUUCCACAAAUUCUUCACCCAAUGCAGCAUCGACGCAACUCUUUGCUUCUAAACGUGAGUCUCUCACCUCUAAUUUUGUUACUUCUUUCUUUUGCUUAGGCACAAGUUGCUUUAGGUUGUUAAGGUUCUUCGCAAUACACCUUCUUUUGUUGUCAAUUUUUAAUUUUAAUUAUUAUUCGUUGCAUGAAAUUAAACUGAUCAAUCGCAAUUCGGCUGUUGCUUGGAUUUGAGAAUUAGCUCUUGGCUUUCUGAAUUAAUUUCCUUAGCAAUGCAAUUGGGUUCAGUUUGCGUUUAAGUAUUGGUGGAUGUUGAGAAAGAAAGGACAUAGGGAAGAAAAGGGAUUAACAUGCUCUUAAGGAUAAGAAAAAAUAAUCAUAUUUUAUUAUAUUUAUUUUUUAUGUAAUAUUUUUCAUAAUUAAUAAUAAUUGGGAUGAAUUUUUUAUUAUUAUUUAAUGAUAUCAUGUUUAUUAUUUAAAAAUAAAAAUGUAGAGGUUAUAAGGUUUUUACAUGCAUCUGCUGUUGUAAUUAUUAUACUGAAAACUAUUUUUAUUUCUUUUAUUCAGAUGCUUAAAAUUGACUGGUUAUAUAAUUGAAAAACGAUCAAAAAUUGAAAACUGACCCAUUCUAACUUGUUACUUUAGAUUUUGAUUUGAGUAAGUAAUGAUUUAUUAUUAUGUUUUCAUUUAAUAAUAUUUGUGUAGAGUUAAUCCACAAGUAAUAAGAACCUAAAAGUAUUGUUUAAUUGUUUGAUGAUAAAAGAAUGAAGAUAUGAGAACGUGUAUUUUGUUACUGUGAAUGAAAAAUAUAACCAAGAUUAUGAAACAAAAUAUUAAUGAUAGUCAGAUAUGAGAGUGAAACUUGUUUACUAUGGUUAUCAAUUUGUUUUUAUUAAAAUUAGAUACUAAAGGAGCAUUAUAAUUUUUAAUAAUAAAAUUAUAUAAUUGAUUUAUAAAUGAGUGAAAAUUAUAAAUAAUUAAUUAUAUUAAAAUAGUUUAAGACAGUUUUUUUAUUUCAAUAAUAUUUUAUUAUAACAUGUUUAACAUUUUUUUCUCAUAAAUCACUUUGAUUUCUUUUGUAAAAAUAUUUAGUCUGUGUAAUUUAAAGUUUAUAUUAAAUUUAAAAAUAUAAUCUUUUGUAAAUAAUAGUCUUUUUUGUUGUUGAGCCAAUUUAUUAAAGUAAAAAUAUAAUCAAAUUUUUAAUUUUAUUUGGUAUUGAAUUCUUCUAUAUCUUGGAUGCAAAAUCAGUACUAUUAUCUUUUAAUUUUAACAAUUAUAUAGUUUUAUACUUAUUAAAACUAUUGGUGAAGUUUAUUUGAUGUUUUAAUUUAUAUGUUUUUUAAAACUUUAUUUUAUUUUUUACUAGCAUAUAUUUAAUAGUAAAAUAUUGAAUACACACAAAAUUAAUUUCAAAGUGUGUGAGUUUAUAUUCAGUGUUAUGAUAUUGGACUUUUGCCCAUAUGAUGCAUUUUCAACUUUUACUAGAUUAGCUUGAAAAACUUUUUACUCAGUGCAUAUCAUUUCACCAAGUAUAUCUUUAUUUUUUAAAACUCACUAAACAUUUUGAAAUUGGGUUUCCAAAUUUUGUAAUCACAUACACAAUGUUAUUUUCUUAUUUAGUUUAUUUUCUCAUAUUUGACAUUUGUUUAUAUUUUUUUUUAUUUUGGAUUUUUUAUUAUGUCAUUUCUCUGUUUUUUAUUAUCUCAAAAUUGCAUUAUUUAUUAUUUUUAUCAUCAUUGAAUAGUUUUACAUAAAUUAAAUUAAUUUCAUUAAUCUUUUUUUGAAAAUGUAAUUUUUUAUUGUACAAGAUACUGUUUUGAAACAAUCAAAUUCAAGAAAGUUUAUUUUAACAGUGUUUUUCUACUUUUAAUUUUUUUUAUUUCUUCCCUAUAUUUUUUAAUAUAAACAAACUCAGGGAGAUGUUCUUAUGUAUAAAGUUUUUCAUCAUUUCACAGGUGAACAACAAAAAAUCACUAGUGAAGACAACUGAAAAAGAAACAAGUUCUUUAACUUCUGUCAUAUACAAAGAAAUGUCUUUCUUAUAUACCUCUACCUUAUUGUAGAGGAGAAUAAUGACUGUAUAUAAUCAUAUCUCACUGCUGCUUAAACAUUCAUACUACUUAAUCAUAUUUGCUUUACUUAUAAUAUGUUCUAUGAAAGAAACAUUUCAUAACUAGUUGAAUGAAAUUGGUGUAUGCAUUUGCUAAGAACAUAGUUCUUUAUUGCAAUGUAGGCACAUAUAGUUGAAAUUUCAUAGGUUCUUUCAGUCAUUAUUUUCAAGAAAUGGAUAAUCUGUGUAUCCAACAACAGGAUCACUGGUGUAAAAAGUUCUUCUAUCAGGCUUGUUCAAUUCAGCAUCCAUUUCAAAUCUCCUUGGUAGAUCUGGAUUAGCCAAAAACAAGCGUCCAUAAGCCACCAAAUCUGCACCAUCAUCGGCAACCACUUUGUUUCCACCACUCUUAUUGUACCCCCCUGCAACAAUAAAGGUUCCACCAAAAGCCUUUCUGAUAGGCAACAAGGACAUAUUGGUCUCACACUUUUCAAACAUUGUAAUCAUCCUGGGUUCAAUGACAUGACAAUAAAGAAUGUCCAAUUUGCUUAAGGAUUGUGCCAUAUAAAUGCCCAAUGCUUGAGGGUCAGAGUCUUUGCAAUCACAAUAGUUAGCAAAAGGAGACAGUCUAACACCAACUUUCUCUGAUCCAAUCUCAUCAACUAUUGCCUUCACAACCAUGAGUGGAAAUCGACAACGAUUCUCUAAGCUACCUCCAUAUUCAUCAUCUCUGUCGUUCACAUGGUCUUUAAGGAACUGCUCAAUUAAGUAUCCAUUGGCUCCAUGUAUCUCCACACCAUCAAUGCCUGAAUAAAUUACCAGUUGAAUCACACAUAUAUUGACUUUGUCACAUUAUCUUCUUCAUUAACAUGAAGUUUUUAGUAACACAAUUUUUUAUUAAAUAUGAUUGAGUAUAAAUAUAUCACUUAAGCACUUUAGCAUAUCACAUGCAUGCAAGUAUGUAGGUAACAUUUUGUAGAGUCAAAUCACAUUUUGAAUGAGGAACUAGAAGAAGAAGAGGAAUCUGUUGAGCAAAAGUUACUACCAGCUUCUAUAGCAUUUUUUGCUGCCAUUCUGAAGUCAUUGACAAUCAUAGGUAUUUCAUCUGUUCUGAGAGGACGUGGAGGGGGGUAUUUAGUGCUGCUACCUUCAAUUGCCUUGUUUGUACUUGAAAUUGGAGGUUCUCCAUUUGGCUGAUACACUGUUCAAUAUAUAUUAUCAAUGUUUACCGCAUCAUUCGUGCAAAACUUCAAAAUAAUUAAUGAAGGUUGAAAUUUAAAUGAAAGUUCAGAGACACCAUCAUAUGCACUAUAGUACUGUCAUAUAGAGUUUCUAGUGAAGGGGAAUAAAUACAAAUAUGAAUACCAUAGUUGGAGACUCUUCCAGCAUGCCAAAGUUGGCAAAAGAAUAUACCCCCUUUCUGGUGAACAGCUCUCACAAUUGGUUUCCAUGCUUCCACUUGUUCUCUUGUCCAAAUGCCUGGUGUAUUUGGGUAUCUUUAACAAGGAAAAAAGAUGCAACAAAUGAAUUAAUCAAAUUUCUGGGUACCAAAGCUUUUUGUGGUUGACCAGUUUUGAAAAACAUGUUAGUUUAUGUUUCUUCCUUUUUGCCAAUGUGUCUAGUUUCUGAAAUUCCUAGGAAUCAUACAUUGAGGUUAUUCACUUGAGAAAAAUACAGAAAAAAAUGAAAAGAAUGGAAGAUAAGACUACCCUUGUGCAGUUUCUGACACCCCUGAGGCUUCUCCAAUCAAAAGUCCACCCUUUGUUGUUCGUUGAGAAUAAUAGAGAGCAGCAUGAGGCUGAGCCACGAAGUUGUAAGAUCUUGUUCUUGUUAAUGGUGCCAGAACAAUCCUACAGCAUGGAACACAUAUUAACCAUUUCUCUAUACACUGAGUUAGAAUUUGGUUUGAGGAACCAAUAUGUGGUGAUCAAGGUAAUAGCCAUGUCAAUUUACCUGUGAGAUAGAUUGAAUUUUCCCAUCUUGAAAGGGGUGAGAAGGGGUAUCACUUCCCUUCCAUUAACCACCUUCUCCUUCUCUUCCAUUGUCUCCUUGUUCAUCAUCCUUUUCCCACCUUGCUAAUUCAGAAUCUGUGAUGGAAUAUGUGGACUCUUGCUCUUCAUUCUUAUAGUAAAUCAAAAUAGUUGUCUUUUUAACUUUUUUUUUAUCUUUUUUCUGAAAGUCAUAAUAAAUCCAAACGAAUUUAUGUGGACUGUUAACUACUAUAUAUUUUGCCUUGAGUUAAUCAAUUUGCAUUUAUUAUUAUAUCUUUUUUUUAUUAGAAAUAUAUUUGUUUUUAAUACUAUUAAUUGUUUUUCACAGGAUUUAAGAGAAUGAAUUCUUUAUUACUAUUUACACUUUUAUUUUUCCAACUAACAUUUUAUUUUUAUUUUUCUAUCUAGUGUCAUUUAGAAAGUAAAAAUAAAUAAAUUAAUAAAUUAAAUAAAAAAUAUAGUUUUUUUUUAAUUUUUUAUUUACUUUUAAAAUCGUGCUAGACAGAGAAAUAAAAACAAAAAGAUGUUAGAUAUGAAAGUAAAAAACAAAUGGUGAUAGAUGAGAAAAUAAAAGUAUAAAUAGUGCUAGACGAGGAAUUGAAUCAUUUAAGGUAUUUUAUUUCUUUUUCAAUAAAUUUAUUAUGUGUAAUAAUGUAUUGACAACCCAUAUUUUUUAUACAACUACAUUACAAUUCUUAAUAUUAUUAUUUUAAUAUUUUUUUAUAUCAUUUAAUUUUAAAUUUACCCUUUAUCAUAUAUAUUUAUUUCUAAAUUCAUUACAUCAAGACUUGUAUACAACUCAAUGGGUAGUCAAAGUAUCAUUUUUCUUUUGUUAUUUCAUAUAAAAAUUGAAAUUUUAGAUAUUAUUAAAUACUAUUUAAUAUUAUUAAUGUUAAUAAAAAUUAUUAAUGUUAUUAAAUAUUAUUAAUGUUAUUAAAUAUUCUUAAUAUUAUUAAAUAUUAUCCAUAUUAUUAAUAUUAAUAAUAUAAUACUAAUUAUAUUAAUUUUAUAAUAUUAAUAAUAUGUAUACUUAUUAGUUAUGAUUAAAUAUUAUUUAUGAAUAUUAAUUAUGAUUUUGUAAUUAUUGAUAUUAUAAUAAUAUUUUUAAUAUUAAGUAUAUAAUUAUUAUGAUAAUAGUUGGUAGGUAGUAGAGAUCCGUAGGUAAAAAUUGGUAGGUAAUAAGAUUCGUUAGUAAUAGUUAGUAGGUAAUGUUGAAUUUACCUACAAAUUCAUAAUCUGUAAGUAAUAUCCACAUUCCGUAGGUAGUGCUGAAUUUACCUAUGAAUUCAGAUCCAUGGAUAAAAAUUCAUAGAUAAUACUAUUUUUUUUGUAGUGAGAAAGAAAAAUAAUUUUUUACACAAGUUAUUUGAAGUUUUUAUUUUCUUAUCAUUUUAGAGUUAUUGUCCUGAUAUUUGUUGAAAAAAAUUAAAAUUAUGUUGAUGAGUAUCUUAUCACGAAUAAUUGAAAGUGAGUUUAGUAUAUAAUAUAAUCAUUGUUUUUAGUUAUUCUUCACUGUUAUGCCAAUUGAUGUCCACUGCUAUGAAACAUAAUCUCCUUCCCUUUUUAAAUGAUGGCCAUUUUUGAAUUUAGCUUUCUAAUUCAUUUUUCCCUUCACAUACUUUGAAUGAUUUUGUUGUGCAUUGUAUUUGUAGAGAAAAGAAACCGUUGACACUUUUCUCUCUCUCUUUUUUAUCAUUUGAGUUUUAUUUGUGCAUUGUAUUUAUCUCCUUAAAGAAAAUAUUAUGAGUGGGGAUAACUCUAAAUCAUAUUACAAUUAAAAAAAUAAAUAAUUUUAAAAUUGCAUUGUGCUACAUUAUAUAUGUAAACUAGUGUAAUGUGUGUCAUUAUAUUUGUAAACUAGCGUUUUUAGUGUGUAAUGAUCAAAAUAACAUUUUAAAUAUAUUAUAGGUUGAAGAUUUCACAUUAUUUAAAAAUUAAAACAUUUAAUAGUAUAUAAAUAGAUACCAACUUCACUUUAAAAACCGAUUUUAUGAAAUUUAGUUAUACAAAUUAAAAAGAUUAAUUCUUUAUAUUUUUUUAUAUUUAAACUCAAAAUUAUGUUUAUGUUAGCCAAAUAAGAUAUUUCAAUGUGAUUAGAAGUUUGUUGACAUUAAUAAAAAAAAAAUCAAUAAUUUAUAAAAGGAAUGGCUUGGUGGGUAUGAGAGAAUUAUAAAAGUUGGAGGAAGAGUGGAGAAGGUCUUCUUUUUAACAUAUCUUUUUUUAUCACAUUGGUAAGUGGUGAUAGGCCAUAAGAUUUGGGUGGAGAGUGAAAGCUUUCAUGAUAGACUACAUUUAUUUAGCAUAUCUUAAUUAAGGAUUUCAAUGUUCUCUUUUUCUUAAAGUGUAAUCUUCUUCUAACACUUCUUAAUUGUUGUAAAAAUGGAGAGAAGUAUAAUAUAUUCUCAAUACUAAGAUAUGCCAAAUUUUCAGUAUUUUUUUUUCACUAAAGAUAUAAUAAAGAUAUAAGAGACUUUCAACUUGAUAUAAUGAGAUUUGACAAAGUUCAAGGUAAAAUAUUACGUGAACAAAAAGUUUGACAAAACAUGAUAAAAUUACACUCAAUUUAGAUACGUCCAAAGUCUUUACCGUGAAAAAUCAAUAAUUUGAGUAAUUCAAUAACUUCAACAUAUAAAGACUUUUGAACUUCAAGAAAAAUAAAAAAACUACAAUCUUACUUCCACGAAAAAUACUAAUAUGGAUUAAAAAAUCUUAAAGAAAAAUAAAGAAAUUACAACCUUACUUCCACGAAAAAUAACAAUAUGGACUAAAAAAUCGAGACAUCCUCUAGCAAUACCAUUUGUAUUGAUCUUUUGUCCAAUUAAUAUAAAAAAAACUUUGAAAGAACUAAAAUAGACAAAAAAAAAAAAAACUCUUUCCACCUUGUGACAACAUAAAGAAAUUUUAAACAUGGAAAAUAAAAAAUGUCAUCAUGUAUUUUGUGGAAGCAUUACCUAUUAUGCUUAUAUAGCCUUCGAUAAUAUAGAAAAACACAUUGUUUCUAUGUAUACGAGUUUAACAAAUGUUAAAUCUAAUUAUGAUGGAGAUUGUAUUUAAGGUAUGAUAAUUGUAUUUUAUCUAAUGAAAGCUUUUUGUAAACCAUUCGUUUAAGCAAUGUAUUGUGAAAAAAAGGAAUGCCCCUCAUAAUUAAUUGUCAAAUAGAAAGAGUUAUAUAUAUUAAGGAAUGUGAAAAUUAUAUUAGUAAGCAUAACUAUUACCAAUUAUUAUUACUGACUUAGUAAGUUAUUUUCAGGUUUUUUGAUCAUGAUGGGUUAUUUUUUUUGUUUUCACCAAAAUGGAGUCUGUUUAAAAAAAUUACAAAUUUAGACAAGUCGUGCCAAUUCGGCACGACUUCAUAUGCAGAAGUCGUCCCAAUUAGGCACGACUUCUGCCCUGUCAUACUAGUCGUGUCAACUUAGCACGACUUCUGUCACGUCAUAAUUUUAUUUUAUUUUUAUUUAAUUGUUUAUAUAUUGGGUAGUAAGUUAUGUAAUGUUAAAAAUUAAUUUGAUACAUAAUUUUCUAAGAGUGUUAGUUUUAAGGAACAAAAAAUUGGAUAAUUGUGUAUGGAUCAUGUUUGAAUUGAAUGAAUAAAUAAAUAAUUUACUUCUAGCUCAACUUUAUAGUUUUAUUUUAUAUCUUGUAAUGAAUCUUACUAAUUUGUUUAGUUCUAAUUAAUAAUCUCUUCUCAUCAUUACGUGUUCUGUAAAAUCAUUACUUCUCAAGCUAUUUAUUUUGCAAAUUCACAACAAUAAUUCUCUAUUUAUUUUCCAAAUACAAUAAAUUUUCAUUUAUGUAUUUAUUUCCAAAUUCAAUAACAAUUUUCUUCAUUUUUUAAUUAAUCAAAUAAUCAAGUUAUUGUAUUACAUUACCGUCAAACAUGAUCCAUACACAAUUAUCCAAUUUUUUGUUCCUUAAAACUAACACUCUUAGAAAAUUAUGUAUCAAAUUAAUUUUUAACAUUACAUAACUUACUAAAAAAAUAAAAAAGAUUAUGACGUGGCAGAAGUCGUGCCAAGUUGACACGACUUUAGUAUGACAGGACAGAAGUCGUGCCUAAUUGGAACGACUUUUGCAUAUGAAGUCGUGCCGAAUUGGCACGACUUGUCUAAAUUUGUAAUUUUUUUUAAACGGACCCCAUUUUAGUAAAAACAAAAAAAAAAAAACCCCAUCAUGGUCAAAAAACCUUAUUUUCAUUUAAGUUAAAAGAAUUUGCAAUGUAGUUAAAAAUGAUAAUAACAUAAUCUAUACCUAUAUAUAAAGGGGAUUCCUCUCUUUAACUGUUCUCAAUUAUUUUCCUAUUUUAUCCUUAUAUUAAUAUUUAAUUUUAUUACUUUAUUAUUGACAUUGCGUCAUUUUCUAUUUUUUUAAAAAUAUAUUAAAACAGUUAUCACCACUACAAGAAAAUUAUUAAAUAAAAAUUAAUUUUAGUGACUAAAUUAGAGAUCAUUUUAUAGACUAAAAAAAUAUUGGUUUCUAUUAUUGAUAAAUAAUUUCUAAAUUGAUAUCUAAUUAGAUACCAAGAUUUUUGCUACCAAAUUUAGAAUCUAAAUAAUUGGUAGUUAAAAUCUUGGUAGCUAAUUAGAUAUCAUUUUAAAAAUUAUUUAUCAAUAAUAGAAAUUAAUUUAGAAACUAAUAAUUUUUUUGUCUCUAAAAUAUUUCUAAUUUAAUUACUAUAACAAAUUUUUUAUCUUUAAAAUUAGUUUUUAUUUAAUUUUUUUCUUGUAUGGCACAUGCAAUUUUGAAUGUAGAACAAUUUUUUUUUAAAAAAAAUUAAUUUUCUAAAAUAUAUCUUUAUUUCUUCAAUUUUUACGGACAAUUGUUGUUUUCUAAUUUUGAAUUUUUGGUAUUUUAUCACCGUAUUUUCUCUUUUCGCUUUUUCUCACUUUAUCUCUCUUCUUCCUCAAAGAUACAUAUAAUAAUAGUAAAAAAAAAAAAAAAAAUUUGGAUAUAUUCGCUCUCUGCACCUGUGUUCCCUAGUAUAUAAAAAAAAUGAUUAGUGUAAUUAUUGUGCUCAUAUUUUUUUUAAGCCACGUCCAUUUUUAAUUUUUUUAAGUAAUUUUUAAAGUCAAUUAUUAGUAUUUAAUUAUAUAAUCAAGAGUUUUUCCCUGGAUUUGUAAAGUCGAAAUAAAUAUAUUAAAACACGAGUGCAAUUAAUAAUGAAGAAAAGGAAAAAUUGGUACGUCAUGAUAAUAUUAUUUUUUAUUUCACUAGACACCCAUCUCCCUCCCACAAACAAAAUAUAUAUAUAUAUAUAUAUAUAUAUAUAUAUAUGAAUACCAUAAAUAGGGACAUUUUAAGUAACUUAAUAGUGUUUUGGAUGGUAGUCUUAUCCACCAAAAGUUUUCAGACACAUUUGUUCCCCAUCAUACUCAUAAUUUCAAUUACAAUAAUAUUACAACUUAUUAUUAUAUGACAUUAAAAUUGUAUUACUAUAUUACUUUUAACAAGGAUGUCUUUAGAAUUUUUUAACAUUAAAAAUAUAAACCAUUAAAAAAUACCUUGCAUUAUAAUAUUUGCAUUUUAUUAUAAAUUCAAAAUAUAACUUACUUAUUUAAAAUAUUUAUUUAUUAUUAAUGUAAUUACAAAAUAACUAGUUUUGUCAAACAAACCUUAAUUAUUUGAAGGUAGCAACUAAGAGUGAGAAUGAAAUGUUUAUAGUGUUAAUGAAUUUAGUUCUUUCCUUGGAUUCAAACAUCAAAUUCUUUGUGAAAUAUCAAUUAUAUUAAAUCCAUUGGGCAUUAGCAAGUUUUAGUGUUAUUUUCUUGUUGUUCAAUCAUAUAAAUAACCUUUCUAAAAACAUUGAAUUAUAUAUUGGUUGAGAUGGAGAAGGGUUGGUAAAGAGAAAAAAGUAUUCAUGCAUUUAGCACAGUUUGCAAAUAUAUAUUCAAUUAUUAUGAAUGGCAAUGAUAACAUUAUCUUAUCUUAUUACUAAAGACAAUCCACUGAUUCCAUUCUUUGUAUGCCCAAUAGUUAGAGGCAUGUCUGCCCUUCUUUCAGGGACUACUUCAUUAUUAUGCACUUGAAUACAGAUAUCUAACUACAUUCAAUUUCCAUUAUAAACUUUUUUUAAACUUAAUUAUCUUUUUUCAUUUCAUUUAAUCCAUUUACUAAUAAAAAUUUAAAUAAAGUUCCUCAAUAUUGAAAAUGUUAUUUUAAAUUUUAAUUGAAUAUCUCAAUUAUUAAAAAUAAAUCUUUCCCAUAUUCAAAUUAAUGUAACUGGACUAAGCCAUGAAUAACUAAUUUUAAUUCAACAUAUGAGAAUCUCUUAUUAACUCAUGCUCAUGCUUGUGCAUAAUAUUAUACAUUUAUGAAUGAUUAUGCAUUAUAUUAUAUAUUUAUCAUAUUAUAUAUUUAUGGAUCAUCUUAUAACGGAUCCUAUAAUAAAAUUGAAUAAAAUUUAAAUAAUUUUAUUAAAACAAACUUUAAAUGAGUAUAAUAUUACUAGCGAAAACACGUAUAUUGUUCUCUUUUACCAACUUUCAAAAUGAUAGAAAUUUAACAUAAAUAAUUUUAGAUGAGUCAUAAAUAAAAAAGUAAAAAAUAACAUAUGGAAAAGAAAAAUGAUGAAUUUCUCUGGUAGAGUCUCUCUUAUUCCAUUAGUAGUUUUGGGAUCGAAGAGUGUGAUGAUGUUCACGUUGCUUGAAAUGGAGUGAAGAGAGUGAUUGAAAAUUAAUGUUAUUUUAUUUGAUAUGUGAGAUUUGGAGUAGAAACAUGUGAGAAUAUACACUCUCUUUCUUCCGGUUGUUGUCUUAAAAUAAAGAAUUAAGAAAAGAGUGAAAGAAUCAGUUUACCUAUAAAAAGUGUACAUUAAUAUUAAAUUAAAAAAUAGUUUUAUUUUUUAAGUAAUUCAUAUGAAAUGACCAAAUACUUUAUUGUACUAAUAAAAUGAGAUAUAUUAAAUAAGGAUAAAAUAAAAAAAAAUUGUGUAAAAAAAAAAAAAUAGUAAAAUAUCCCUUUUAUAUAAUAAUAUAUUAUUAUAAAAUAAAUUUUAAAUAUAACUUAACCAGUAAUUUUAUAUGUGUAGUACUGAAAUCUCCAAGAGCUUAUUAUUAAAUUGAUUUUUGUAGUCAUAUAUUCUAAUGAGUCAUAUAAUCUACUAUUUUUAUCAUUUCCUUUUCACAAUUGCUACUCUUUCUUGCUCAUUCUAUUUUUUUUUUUUAGAACUAUGCUUAGCCAACUCAAGCUUGACUAUCUACCAUCCAAAACCUUCAUCCAACAUUAGAGAAACCCUUUUUCUUAUCCUAUACACAUUAAACCAAUCUUUAUGAUCCAAGAAGUCAAAACCAACAACACCAUAAAGUCACUAUAGGGACCUUGUAGCUUUUAACCCAUCAAAUCAACUCCAUAAUUCAAAUCAACCAUACUAUUAAAUUUCCCUAAUCAUACACAUCAAAACUCCACCAACCUCACAAAAACCAACAAGUAUACACUAAAAACACUUACUUCACCUAAACAUAGCUUCCGCAAACCUCCACCUUUGAGUUCUUCCAAAAACUCAUCAAGAACAUUAGAAGAGAUACUUGACUAAAACUCACAACCAUUCCCUACCUCUCAAACUGAACCGCACAAAGGCACCUAUAACUCAACCAAACUAAUCUAGGAGCAAGGUUAUUUACCUUAAAACCUUUCUUUUUGCUCUUAAAGUGAGUAAGAAGUGUGGUCAGUAUUUUCUAUUCUGACCCAAAUAUAGUUCUUGUAUUUUUUUUGGGUUUUUUUUUGUUUUAGAGCAAUGUCUUCAAAAGGGUUCUCCUCCUAAACCAAGAACAGCCAAUUUAAUAACUCAAAUAAAUUAUAUGCAAUAAGUAGAAAAUUACUAUUGGAAAUUCCAAUCUGACAUUGCAAGUUAAGUUAAAAAGAAAAGGGAAACAAAUAUUUUAGGUAUAUUAACUUUGAGAACUAAAUAUGGUUAAAAUUACUAUAUUAAAAAUUGAAAGUUAUGGUAGAAUGAUAUUCUAAUUAAUGUAGCUAAGGGAAAAAGAUUAUAGAUAGUCACACUAUUUUCCUAUUAGAAAAAAUAAUAUUAAUCUUUCAACUUCAAAGGUUAAAACAAGAAAAUGAAAGUAUAGAAGAAUAUUAUAAAAGAAAAGGAAGUGAAAUCCAUCAAAUUGAAAUAGAAGAAAGCUUGAAGCCUACCAUAGCAAAAUCCUUAAAUAACUUGAAUCAUAACAUCCAAAACAUAGUACACCUACAAAACCAUAUAUCUUUAAAGAAAUAUUUUUUAUAGAGAACAAAAUAAAAUAAUUUUCAAAAUUAUUUAGUAAGAAAAAACAUAUAUUAUUUAAACAAUAAAAUUAUUAGAAAGGAAAAAUAUUUGAAAAAAACAAAAAACUUAUAUUUAAAAAAUAUGAAAAUGUUGAAAAUAAUAAGAAGAAUAGAAAAAUUAUUUUGAAAAUAUAACCACGUUGUUUUAUGAAAUGCUUUUAUUUCAUAACAACUUCCUUUUAUGUCGGGAAACAAAGUUCUGGCAGCACUCUCGGUUGUUUUUCAACGGCCUAAACAAAAAUGUACCCUGUUUCAUUGUCAAUACAGUUUAUCCUGCACCUAAGUUUUUCUAAGUUUCUUCCUGUUUUCGUAAGUUUUUCUUUACUUACUGCACCCAAAAUGUUAUGAAAAACAAAUAUAUCCCUAAUAUUCUUAAAAAACUCUAAAAUGUACACAACACAAUACCCAGAUCUACAGAAGAAUCCUAAUAUUAAUUGAUAGUCUUUUCUAAUUAUCAGUUGUUUCUCUUUAUAAAGAAUAAUAAUUGGGUGUCUUUUCUAAUUAUCAGUUGCUUAUCUUUAUAAAAGAGAAUAAAGAUGUCUUUUCUAAUUAUCAGUUAUUUAUCUUUAUAGAGGAGAAUAACCUUUAUUUUAUCUUUGUGCGUUAUGAUUCUAGUAUUUAAUUAUUGAUUAUUUCUUUCUUUAGUUAAACCCUAGAAUGAGUGUACUAUUUGUAUAUAUUAAGACCAUUUAUUUUGAUUUGAAUAAUAAGAAAAAAGAGAUAUUCAUUUUCAUAUCUUUUGUAAGUUUACUCUUUUGUUCAUCUCUGUUCUAUUUUGUAAUACUUGUCUUUCUUCUUCCUUUACACGCAUAGUGCUCUCUUAACGAUGGCGCCACUCCACCUCUUGAUAUUUCUCCAUCCCUAAAAUGUGAUUAGUUGUGUCUUCGCUGUGUUGAUGGUUACAUAUGUUGAUGUCAGACAGUACAAUCCACUAGGUUUAAAAAUAAGGAAAUUCGCACUUUGUUUUUUUGUCAGAGAAUUGAAUCCACAAAACUCCCAUAUUCAUGCAUCCAUAAAUCAUUCAGAGUCCGAUAAUUUUCCCAUUGCAUAGUAUGUUUUUGGAUUUCAGAAUCCAAAUAAAAAAAAUACAUUAUGGAUUCAAAAAUCAGUAAUAAAAGGUCGAGACUAAUUUAGGAAUUUUAAAAGUUAUGAGGGUGCAGAAAGAAAAACGUAGGGGUUCAAAAAGAGACUUCCCAUUGUCAAAUGGUUAGAGAUAGUUGUAAUACUACUGCAGUCAGAAAAUUUCUUCAUGCACCUCCAUGGAAAAAGAAACUUAGAAUUUUAUCCUCUUCUUUAUUGAAGAUCCCACCUGCAACUUUCAUUGUGUCUCUUGGUUCAAUCACAUUAACUUUCACUACCAUAACUCCCCACCUUCAACACUACUACUACUGCACACAUAAAUUGUAUUCUUUAAAUAAAGUUGAAGAAAAAAUUGUAUUCAGAAUAAAGAAAUUGUAUUUUUUAAAUAAAAAUAAAUUGUAUUUUUUAAAUAAAAAUAAAUUGGUAAUCCUUUAAAUAAUAUUAAUGUAAGAGUCAUGUAAAUAAGAAAUUUCAACAGUGUUAAUGUGAGGAAAAUAUGCUUGAUCAUUUUUAUGUUACCGGAGACCCAUUGUUAUAGGUUUUGCUGUAAGUGUACGUCUGGACAUGCUCUAAUUACGCCUCCACUUCCUAAGCUUCAAACACAAAUAUUCCCAAACAACAACCACAAAAAACAAAUCUACAAUUAUUUAUUCAUUUAUUUCCACUAAUUUAUCGUUAUUAGUUAUCGUCAUACAAAUUUUCAAAAUUAAGCCAUUAAUAAUGCAGUUAGUUAGCUAGCUUAGUUUAGUAAGUGUACAUAAAUGCUAUUAGAUAAUUUCAAUAAAUUGUAAUUGUUUGGAUUUAAUAUACGGGUAAAUCUAUAAAUUGAUUGUUAAAAAAAUUAAAAGGUAAACAGCAAGAACUCUAUGACCGAUUUUGCUACAAUACUUAAUGUUAUGGUUUUAUUAGUUUUUUAUUUAAUCAACGUAUCAGUGAAAUUUGAUAGCAUUUAUCAAAAUUAAUGUAUCUUCAUCAUUAAGAAAUAUAAUAUAAUAAAUUCAAAAUGCAACUAUGGUCAUUCUUCUAAAUGAAAAAACAACAUUUUGAAUUUUUAAAGAGAUGAAUUUAAUACCUAAAAGGAGGGUGCUCAUAUUUUGAUUUCUGAUAAAAUUUCACUGAAUUAAUAUAUUUCAGAAGGAAUUUAUCGCCCUAAAAAUAAAUUAUACUUAAACUAAAUUUCACUACUUUUAAAAUUAAGCUGCAUACAGGUCACAAAAAUUAAUCAAUUUUUUCUAAAUUAACUUAAUGAGAAAAUGUUAUAAAGAAGUGAAGUAAAAUUCGUAUUUAGGUAACACGACAUGAACACGAGUUUAUAUAUUAUAUAAUUAUAAAUUAUAUAAAUUGAUAAUAAAAAUUUAUAUGCACAAGUAUGUUCCAGAUUUCCAAGACUCGUAAUCGGUCCUCCGAGACUCGUAAUCGGUCCCCCGAGACUCGUAAUCGGUCCCGAGACUAGUUCAUAGUGGAUAGAAUAUAUUACUCAGACAUUUUCAUAUACAAAUGUUAUUUUAAUGAAAGAAAGUAAACUUAAAGUUAAAAAAAAGGAAGGAGGCUAACCUGCGAGAUUUGCGGUAUUAGGCCAAAUCGCGCAGUAAACUACGCUACUAAGUUUGACUUGAAGUCUGAGAACGCUCCCUGUCCCUGCAAAAUGCAAUUCAAUCCAAAACAAAACUGAGAUUUUAUCAGCACAAUAAAAAGGAGAUAGAAAUGGAGGCAGAGCAUCAUCAAGAAGCCUCAAACACUAUUGGAAGCCUUUACGUUAAAGUAAUGACCGACGAACAAAUGGAACUGCUGAGGCAACAGAUAUCUGUUUACGCCACCAUCUGCGAGCAGCUUGUGGAGAUGCACAAAGCCGUAACCACCCAACAGGACCUCGCAGGUUUUUUUUUGUUGCUUCUUUCGUAAAUCUAACUUUCUCAAACCUGUGCAUGCCAUCGCUGCACCCUCUUGAACAGUAGUGGCGAGCAACACACUUUUUUUAUAUAGAAAACGAGGGUUGUAGGUUAUGUUUUUAGCUGAUAUGGGACUUAACUUGAUAAAAUUUCAUUGUUUCAUUAUGCUAGUAAAUGAAAUGUAAGAUCUGUAAUUUGACAGUGGAUAAAGAAACAAGAUGAGUGUGUGAUUUGUUGUUAUACUUUGGGUCAGGGCUGAGGCUGGGUAAUUUGUACUGUGAUUCGUUGAUGGCGUGUUCUGGACACAAGAUAACUGCGAGGCAGCGUUGGACUCCAACGCCUCUGCAGCUUCAAAUUCUGGAACGUAUUUUUGAUGAGGGGAAUGGCACUCCAAGUAAGCAGAAGAUCAAGGAGAUAGCCAUUGAACUGGGCCAACAUGGCCAAAUAUCAGAGACAAAUGUUUAUAACUGGUUCCAGAACAGAAGAGCUCGAUCAAAGAGGAAGCAACUCGCUCCCGCAUCGAAUGUUGAGCCAGAAGCCGACACAGAAGUUGAGUCUCCACGAGAGAAAAAAUUACGCGCCGAAAGCGUUCAGGUUAUUCAACCCUUUGAGAAUUCAUCAUCAUCACCUCAUAGGAUCAAGGAUAUGUACAUCCACAGUCCUGACUUAGGUAUUAUUUUCAAUUAUUAGGAUCAAUUUCUCAAUAAACAUUUGUAUAAUCCCUUCAUAAGGUGGUUUUAAUUUGUAGAUAUGCAAUCUACAUUCUGUUGAUUUGUUUAUGCAGGAUUUGAGCAAUUGAUGAGUAAAAUAGAAGUUGCAGGGUGUUACAGCUCUUAUUUUCUUUGACAAAUGUGUGGAAUGGAUGGGUUGAAGACUCAAUUCUUGAUUGCAGUUUGGUAUAACUAUUUGUUCAGAUGCAAAUUGUAUAAAUUGUUUUGCCUAAGUCUUGAUGAACAGUUACUGUGAUCUGUUACAAUUUUAGGAGUUGUUUUGAAUCUGAUUGCUUCCCCCACUUAGCAUGAGCUUUCACUCAUCUGUGCUAACGUAUAUAUUAUAGUUACCUCAGAUUAUUAUCAUGGUUAGGCUGCAUUUACAUUACAUUUUGUGAGUUGUGUUGUUGUGAAAACCUGCUCAAUCAUUUCUUCAUAUUCUUCCUUUAUUGCUUUGCCUAUGCAGACCAAACAUACAUUCGAUAGAGAAGAGAAAUAAAAUAAUCAUUUAUGCAUUUCAUUCAUAACCAGCACUUUCCAUGGCUAUUGGUGUGGUCAUUCACUACUUUAGCCAACUUUUACACCAUAUUAAGGGGUGAUGAUGAUAUUUUAACAAUCAGUCAAAAUUAUAUAUUUCCUUUUUUGAUAAUUUUUAGAAUUUGAAUGGAAAGUGAGUAGAAAAAGAAGUAAAAAAAUUAAUUGUUUGUAAAUUACAAAAUAUCCUUAAUUUUACUUUAAUUUUGAUAAAAAAGUGAAUAUAAUUAAAAUUGAAAGUUGAGAAUCUUGUCCCCUUAGUUUCAUUUCAUUGGAUAACUUUUAGAAUUAAACACAACAUUCUUCCUUUAACAUAACCAAUGUGUUGAAAUUUUCUCAUAAAUUAUUUCACUCUAAAAGAUUAUAAAAACAAAACUCUAAUGAUUUAUUGAUAUUGAAUGUAUUAAUGCUUCUCUCCUAAAAAAAUCAUAAUGUUUUUAUAAAAAGAAUCAAAGUUAGGAAGAUAUUUCAAGUUUCUUAAUAUUUAAGGUGUGUACGUGUGACUAAAUUUAAUUUAGUAAUAUGUUUAGAUUACUAGCUUAUAUCUUAACAUUUUCAAUUAAUUAAUAUAUUUUUUAAAUAAAUAAAUCCAGUUCUUUUACUUGUUAGAAAUAACUAUAUUCCUUUUUAUAUUUUAAAAUUGACAAUAUUAAAAAUGGGUAACAUCAAAUAAUCACAAAUGGUUAAAAAAAAACACCCCAUAAAUAUUUAUAUAAACUAUGCAGAGAAUGACUUGCAUUCACAAAAAUAUAUAAUUAUCAUCUGAAUAUCAUUAUUAGAAACCAUGAUUAAAGUUGGAAAUGCAAGCCUUAGUCUUCAUUGUAGCUAUUUACAUAUUAUUCUACACAUAGAUUGUGUCCCUGUGCCAACUUCACAAGAGUUGAUGACAUAGUUGGAGUAUAGAUGAGAUGAGAAAGUCUAGAUUUGAAAUUCAAUUAUAAAAGUUUAUACACGUGUAUUUGUGUGAUUAUAUAGAGAUGGUAAGGAUAUUUAAAUCCUUGAAAUUUAAGUAGAAUAGAAAAAAAAAUUCAAAAACUUGCAUCACAUCAUAAUAUAUUGGAUGUAUUGUUGGAAUAACUGUGUUUUUCAUUACAAACAUGAUAAAAAAUAAGAAAAUUUUAUAUAAUAACAAUAGAAAAAUGAAAUUUAUUUUAACAAAUAAAACAAUAUAUUCAUAUAAAGUAAUAAUCAAAAGAAUAAGUUAUUAUUUUUGUAAUACUGAAACACCGAGGACCUGCGUAGUAGUCUCAGGAACUUGGUACAUCCCAUGAAAUUAGGGAUAGUAAAGCGGGAUGGUUCGCGUGAGUCGGUCCGCGAUUCGCUGGUAAAAAACGCGAGCAGGUUCACCUUUUCAACUCGUUAACCCGCAUUAGUCCGUCCUGCAUAACUCGCGGCCCGUGCGGGGUGUGGCGGACUGGUCCGCAAGCUCGCAAACAAAAAAAUAAAAAUUGACUUUGGGAGCAGUGGAGUAAAUGUUCUGUUUUUCUUCCUUUUUCAUUUUGGGGUAGAAAAUUGCAAGGGUCAUUGAAAUUAUAAUUUCCUUGAGACUCCUUUUUGGUCUAGUUUUAGGGAUGAGAAUACAGGAUGUUGGAUAUGAUAUUUUUCAUGUAAUUUGGAAUAAAUAAUAGUGGAUAUGUUAGGUAGUGGGUAAGUCAAGAAUAUUGGAAGGUUGAUACUUGGAUUAUAUAACAUUCAAUUAAUGUUUAUUGCUACAUUAAUUCUAAUGUCUUUGUUUUUUAUGACAAUUUUUCAAAAAAUCAUUGAAUUUCUAUUUUUUUUUAAUGCGGUCUGACCCACAAACCCGCAGACUAACCCUUAUGCGAGGAGAGAUGAAAAAUUUAGCGCGCACUCAUUUUGUGGGACGUGUUAAUCCGACCUACAUUUUACAAACCAAAUGCGGGACAGACCUAUGCGGGUGGACUGAUCCGCUUUGCCAUCCUAUAUGAAAUUCCACUAAAACUCUAAACAUGCUAUUAUUCAAUAAUGCAUCAAAUUAUCCAUAUAAUAUAAUUAAGAUAGUCUUUUUAAGAGCAACUUAACCGUCUGUAUUAUACCCAAAAUAAUUGUACAGAUAAAAAAAAAAAUCCCAAAAUCAAAAGAUAAAUAAAAAGAUACCUAAAAUCUAACCUAAUGCUUAUAAAUUAAAGCACAUUUAUAAAUAAACCCACUCACAACAACUUGGAGAUGGAGAUUGGAAAUCCGUAUAGAAGGUAAUUCACAGGAAAUUCCUCUUAUAAAAAUAUUUUUAUCAAUAAUUUAUUAAUAUUAUUUUUUACUGUAGGAAUUGAACUGAGGGUAAGAAAGUUUACUACUGCAACUAAUACAUACUACUAAACACAAUUAAACUAUAACCAAUUUCUUAAGUUGGUAAUAUUUAUUUCCGCACAUUUUGUUUGUAAGUUUUGAAUGUUUAAAUAUGAAAAAUAGAAAAAAAAAUCAUCUUAAUUCAAGUUUUACAUGAAUUAAUGAGGAUGCUAAUUAAAAAAUGAAAAUAACUAUUAUUUUUAAACAUAUUUUUUUGUUCUAUACACAUGGAGUUAUUAACUUCAUAUUCAAAGAAUAAAGUCAUUGCUUAUUAUAUCAUGUCAUAUACAAUGAUAUCUUUAAUAGUAACUUUAUUUUUUUCAAAAUGACUAAAAUAAUUGCUGUAAUUUUUUUAUACAUGACAUAGCAAAAAAAGGUUUUGGUUAACCAUUGAUCACGCUUAUUAGUUUGAAAACGCCAAUAAAGGUAAAUAUUAAAAGAGCACAGUCAAUAAAAAAAAAGGAAAAAAUUAUUUUUUUAUAAUACUAGUGGUAAAAAAUAAUACAAAAUAAAAAAAUAUUAUAAAUCAAAUGUGAUUAUUUUACCUUGAAAAGAAAUGAAAAUUACUUUUCAGGUUGACUUUUUAUUGGUUUCUACAGUUAAAAUGAUAUCAAUGAAAAUGACAAAUUUCUUAUACUCUUGAUACAUCGAAACCCUAAAUUAUAAAUAUCACUAACUAAUAAAAAAUGGAAGAUCACUCAUUCCUUAAAAAAAUGUUGACAAAAAAUAAAAAGGCUUGAAAAAAAGAAUAUUAACACUUAUCAAAGUAUCAAGUAACCAUUACUUUUUGAAAUUGGUUCAUCUUUCUCCUUUUCCUAUUAUUAUUAGAAAAAUAAUAUGUUUGUAAUAAUUAUUGUAAAUCUUCACAUUUUAAAAUGUUACUAUUAAAAAAAUGAUAUAAUAUCACAAAUAAUUUUUUAUUAAAUAUUUGUGUAAAAGUGUUCCAUGAUGGGUAAUAAUAUACAUGAGUUAAACUUUUACAUAAUUAAUUAAAAUAAAAAUGAUCUAUAUUUAUGAAACUUAUAUUAUUAUUAUUAUUAUUUGUUAUUUGGUUCCAGUGUCUGAACGGUGGGAUAAUUACUAUAUGUAGAUAUCGAUGCAAUGAAAUUGGUAUUUCUCCGUUUAGGCACAGCCAGUGCUACGGUCGUUACAGUUGGAGAAGAAGGCAAAUCUCAGCAACUCGCCGGAAAUCAAAAUAAGAACACUUUUCAAUUCACUUUUUGGCCUUCCUUUGGUACUUCCAAUUCUGCCAAUUCACGCACAAACGCGCUGUAAUCCAAUUCCCUCUUCCCUCGCAAUUCCUCAAUUCCACGAAACAAAUCCCUAGCCCACCACUACAGGGCGUGCGAUCUACUCUGCGGUCGAAGACGAAGGAAGUGCAAUGGCGGCUCCUAACAUGGAUCAGUUCGAAACGUAUUUCAGGAGAGCAGAUUUGGACGGAGAUGGCAGAAUCAGUGGAGCUGAAGCCGUCUCUUUCUUCCUGGGAUCCAAUUUGCCCAAACAAGUUCUCGCCCAGGUUUUAUUCUAUUUCAAAUUUCCAAUCUAAAGUAAACGUGUCAAUUCACUAACUUAAAUUGAUUGUUUCGUUAUGUGUUUACUCUUGGAGGCAUUGGAUUUUCAGCAUCGAUGGUUAUGCUUUCGAUAUUGUUCGCUUAGAAUAUCUUAUUUAGGCCUCUCUUCUAUGCUUUUCCUUGAAAAUGUUAACCGAUCUAGAUUAUUCUUGUGUAAUGUUUCGUGUCCUCGGUGUGAGUUGCAGGUAUGGGCGUAUGCUGAUCAGGCCAAAACUGGUUUCCUUGGGCGCGCAGAGUUUUUUAAUGCUCUGAGGUUAGUUACUGUGGCUCAGAGUAGGCGAGAUUUAACGCCUGACAUUGUGAAGGCAGCGUUAUAUGGUCCUGCUGCUGCUAAAAUCCCCGCGCCGCAGAUUAAUCUUGCUGCCGUAUCUCAACCUGUCCCGAGGCCCUCUGCUGGAUCUGUUGGACAGAUGGGUGUUACUGGACCCAAUUCAGCUCAAGGUUUUGCCUAUAGAGGACAAGGGUUAGCAGGUCCUGGUGCAAGCCCGCAAUAUUAUCCUCCACAGCAGAAUCCUGCCAUCAGACCUCAUCAAUCAAUGCCUGUUACCGGUGCUGCGCGUCCGCAACAGGGUGUUGCAGGCCCUGAUAUUUCUAGAGGAGUUAACAUGGGUGGUCACAAUUUCUCAAAUCCUGGGCUAUCAAAUGAUUGGAAUAAUGCUAGGCCUGGUAUGGUGGCUACCAGACCUCCAGGAAUGAACCCGUCAGCUGCCUUCCAGACGUCACAGUCUCCAAUUUCACCAAUGCCCCAGUCAUCUCCAAUUUCACCAAUGCCCCAGUCAUCCCCAAUUUCACCAAUGCACCAGUCAUCUCCACUUUCAUCAAUGCCCCAAUCAUCUCCACUUUCACCAAUGCCCCAGUCAUCUCCGGUCUCAUCAAUACCCCAGUCAUCUCCGGUCUCAUCAAUGCCCCAGUCAACAGCUGUUAACGCUAAAUCAUUGGGUGUUUCUGGAAAUGGGUUCUCUUCCAAUUCAGUUUUGGGCAAUGAUUUCUUCUCUGCUGCCUCAUCAAUAUCGAAACAAGAACCUGCUGGACACAGUUAUUCUGUUACCAAUGUCUCAUCAGCCAUUGUUCCUGUUUCCACUGGUCCCCAACCUGUAAAGAAGCAAAAUUCACUUGACUCAUUGCAGAGUGCAUUCUCAUCAGUGCUGCCUGCAAAUAGUCCGUUUCAUCGGCCACAGUCUGUAUCAAACCAGCAAAUUUCACCACAAGCUUCUUCUUCUCCACAUACACCAUCUGGGAUGACAGGUGGGGUUGGAAAUGCAAAUUCUGACAAUGUGCAGCUUUCUUGGCCAAAAAUGAAGCCUACUGAUGUGCAGAAGUAUACAAAGGUGUUUUUGGAAGUUGACACUGACAGGGAUGGGAAGAUCACUGGGGAGCAGGCUCGCAGCCUUUUUUUAAGCUGGAGAUUACCAAUAGGUAAGCCUGUUUCCUACUAACUGACCCUUUUUGAUGUAUUUUUCAUGCAAGUUGGUUCGUUGAUGUGUUGGCUUGUCAUAAACAUAACAAGAACCAUAGUCACUUGAAAAUUUUAGUUUUAGCUUCUUGAAUUCAGAUUUCUUUUCUGGAUGGGAAGGGUGUACCUUAAUGGCUUUUUUGGUUGACAUGGAACAACCUCUGUGCACUGAUACUGGAUUUUUAUUGUUUUUUACUGAGCAAACUUAUGACUAACGAUGCUUUAUGGUGUUAAUUGGUGGGUGAUGAAUUGUUACAAGAGUUUAUCUCUUGCCUAAGAUGAUUUGGCCAUGCGAUGAUAAGACUCAUAGAAGUCUCAGUAAGAAGAGUUUAUUAGAUGGAGGAUAGCAAAGUAAAUAGAAGUAGAGGAAUAAUAAGGAAAGUUGUAAAAAAAUGCAUUGAAAAGUACCCAGAUUUAAAUUGGGUUUUGACAAAAUAUAGUCUCAUUGUUUGGUCCAUAUUGCUGAACCCACUUAGUGAGAAAAUGCUCUUGUUUUUAUUGUUAUUUGUUAUCAUUCUCUAAAUUUACCUGCGGAAAAUUCAUUGAUCAUGGAUCAUUCAAGUCAGAUUUUUGUUGUAUCUAUCUGAAUUUUGUUUGUCAACCAAAUGUUUGUAUGAGGAUACAUGAGUGAGGGAGCAAUGGGUAAAAAUGCUCUUCGAGUAAUAAAUCUUUUAUCACUAUUGAUUAAAUGCUUAAGAGAGUUCUUCUUGACCAAACAAAGUGUAAUAUUAAUGAAACAGCUAACUACUAUGACUGUUAUUUCUUAUACAGGAAAUGCAAUUUUUUAUCUCCCCAAAAUAUCUGAAAUUACUGUAAUAUGGUUAACAAGUACUUCCUAAGUGGGGGUAUUUUAAAGCUUUUUGGAAUCAACUAAAUGAACAAUUUCACUAGAAAGGAAUAAAGACAGUAGGUUAAGUAUUAUUUCUUAAACAAACUUACCAAGGAAACUAGUAUCCCAUUGAAAAUUUGAAAAAGCCACUAACAUAUGCUACACCCAUUAAAAUAGAGGAGCUUUUCAACACCAUAUUGUCUUCUGUUAUUAUUGUCAUUAUUUUCGGAUCAAAAACAGUAUUUAUUGUUAGAAAGAUUGGCCGCGUAAUCACCGUAGGGAGGACAUAAACAUAAUACAAUCUCAUUACAUAUGUAAGGCAAAGAGGACGUCCUUGGAAACAUCAGUGGUCUUCACCGACCAUACUGGACAAUUGUAUUAACCACAUGUUGCCUUAAAGUUGUAGUAUCCUUUUUUUCCAUCCCAAACCUUUAAAUAAGCAAUGGAAUAUCAAGUGGAAAUGUGGAUUGUUCUUUUGCAACUGUCUGCAAAUAACAAUGACAUAAAUAGAAAGAGCAGGGCGAGGUCUAGAAAUCUGUAACACUUAAUUUGUAUUAAUCCUGUAAAGUACUGUUGUGCAGAUUAAAAGGGUUAGGGUUUAGGAGAAUAAAUUAGAAGCUGAAAAAGAAUUUAUUAGAAAGCAGUUCUGUUGAAUUUAUAGUUGAAGUUCUUGUAUAUUAGUCGCAGUGAGUAGAAACAAGUGAAAGGGACUCUAAUUCAAUUAGAUUUCUAUUAAUGUGAAUGGUUCAAGAGAUAUGAAUAAUUAAUUUGUUGGUGGGAAAAUUAUGCAUACAAGAGCAACAUCUAAGCAAGGGAAAGCCUCUAAGAAACAAAUAUUCCCACCAUAGUAUUGUCCUGAAACCUGAUGCAAUAACUAUCACUCAAAUCCAAAGAAACAAGUAGUCAAAACACACAUCUCUCUGUAAUAACAUUACAUGGAUAUGCAUGAGUUUAAAUGAUCACAGGUUGGCAGCCCUCCACCCAUUUUAAUCCAAAUCAUACAUACUAUGAAUUAUUUGGUAUCGUAAUGGAUCAUUUAAAAGAAAAAAAAGGUGACAAAGAUAUUGAUAAUUUGAGAAGAGAUGUAUAGUAGGUUACAGUUAUUAGAUCUAAUUCUACACACAUUUAUAAAUGUAUUUGGUUAUGGAACCUAGAAUCCCUAUCAAUUCCAAACCAUCAUGUUUGACCUCAGAAUCAUAAUAAUUCAAAUUCUUUGAGGAGAAUAACUAUAAAUACUGAUAGCUUGAGUUUCAGCUGGAUUCUGUGAUAGAUGACAGUCAUUUGAUUUAGACCUGAGAAAUAGAUCAACUCAACACUUUGAAAUCUACCGGGCUAUGAACCACAAGAACUUUAUGAAUUAGUUGACAAAUAAGUAUUUCAUGUAGGAUGAAUGAGAGUUGGAAUUGGUUAAUUCUAUUGGUUCAUACCUAAUGUAUUCCUAAAUGCAGAGUUGAUCCUAGGUCUAGUCAUUUUCCCUCAAUUCUCAAAUGAUAUAAUACAAGAUAAAAUACCUCUUCCUUUACAUCUGCCUCCUACUUAUUUAUUCCUCAAAUGCCAUUUAAUUGACUAAUCCUUUUACUAACUACAAUAACUAUCCUAACUAAUAAUGGCUAAGAAUAUUACCCUCUUGAAAUCUUGUUGGCUAUGUUGGAAAUUGUUACUAAAAGUUGAAUAUCACCCUCCUAUUUAUUUAUUUACCUCUCAAAUUUCUUCCUACUAACUAAAAUAACUGUCCUAACUAACUUCCUUACUCGAUCAGACAACCAUUUUUUUUGGUAAGCAUGCUUAUUGUCCUAUUUAUUCAAUUCAAUUCUCAAAUGCUACUAAGCAAGCUACACUGGCAAGAUGAUCUUAUUAGAUUUGUUUCUUUACUCUGUUUUUUGGACUGUUUUUUAGCUUCAUUAUUUUUGAAAUUUUCUUGGAGAGGGGAUGACCCUUUUAGCAUUUCUCCGAAGGCAAUAAUGUAAUCCGUGGACUUUGUGCAGAGGUGUUAAAGAAGGUGUGGGACUUGUCUGAUCAGGACAAUGAUAGCAUGCUUUCUUUGAAGGAGUUUUGCUUUGCUCUUUAUUUGAUGGAACGGUACAGGGAAGGUCGACCUCUUCCACAGUCUCUUCCAAGCAAUGUUAUGUUUGAUGAGACACUGAUGUCUAUGACAGGCCAACCAAAAAUUGUUCCUGGAAAUGCAACCUGGGGAACCGGCCAAGGUAUUUUCUCUUAUUUACUCUACAAUUUUCUUUUCUUUUUCUCUUAUAAGACACCUUUUGAUGAUUUUUUUUACUUUUAUCCAUCUCAAGGUUUUCAGCAACAACAGGGGAUGCCAGGUGCUCGGCCAGUGGCACCAACAGCUGGUUUGAGGCCUCCAGUCCAUGGAAGUUCUGCUCAGGCUGAUUUCACUACACAGCCCAACCAGCAAAAGUCAGGAACACCUGUGUUGGAGGAUUCCUUUCUGAAUCGCACUGAUAAUGGUGAGCAGAAUAUAUUGAAUACAAAGCCUCAAGAUGCAACAACUGCAGAGAAGAAGGUAUUGGCUCUGCCUUUGUAAUUUUUCUCCAUAUAUAAACAUAUAUUUAUGAAAGUGAAGAUUAUCCAUAAUGUUUUUCGUACAUGCUUGUGUUUUCUGUUUUCAUUAAGGAAGAUGCUUUGUUCUCCUAUUCCUUUGUAGUUCUCAUCCCUUCAUCUUAAUUUAUUUAUGUUUAUUUUGAAGUUCCAUUUUAUAGAAAUUGGAAAAUUAUAAAACUCAUCCUAAAAGCCAGGGAUUCAACUAUAUAUCUACAAGCAAGUGUAAGGUAAAGAGACACCUUUGAAAUUAUGAGGCUUUCCUUUCCCAACCAAAUGCAUCAAAUAAUUGUAUAAAUUGCAGCCUCCUAUAAAACAACUGUUUCCUUGUUUCUGCCAAAAUUUUGUUCCAGUAGAAAGGACACAAAUACAGGUUCACAGUCUCUUAGUGCUUGUUUGGUACUCCCUUCAGAAUUAAUGAUGAUUGUUUGGUGGGUGGACCCAAGUUAGUUUUUGGUCUUAAAUAUAAUUUCACAAGUAAAAUUGAAAUGAAUUAUGGGGCUGAAAGUUACUUUUGUAACCCAAAAUUAACUCCCCAUUUUCUAUAAUAUCCUCAACCAGAUCUAUUCAGUUGUAAAUGAUCUUGGUUCUUUUGCACAUUUUGAGAAAUUCUAAAUAAAAAAUGUUUCUUCCUGCUAUUGUAGUCUGAAGAAGCUCAGAAUGUUAUUUUGGAUUCAAAAGAGAAGAUGGAGCUUUACCGGAACAAAAUGCAGGAACUGGUCUGUAAUUCAUAUCUUGUCUCUUUUUAUUUUGAUCUUAGAUUGAUGUUUUUUUCUUAAGGCUUUGCAUGGUUGAAAUAAACUAUUUGUAGGCUUGCUAGGCCAUACUGCUGGUGGCUCACUUUUGAGUAAACUUGUGUUAGAAUUAAUGGAGUUAUUACAUUACAGAGGUUAAAAUAAAUUUAUUAGCAAUCUUUGAUCAGAAGUUAUGUGAAUAAUUAUUAUAUGUUAGUGUUGCUUGGUUUUUACAGAAAUACCUUCUAAGCUAAAUAGUUCUUUUGUUUAUACUAUUUUAACUUAUAAGCAUAAUACAAGCUAAUUCAAAACACAGUAAGUGUACCAGAGCUGUGCAAUUUAGCUGGGGGUUUGGUUUGCUAUGACAAAUGCCUACCAGUGAUGGAAUUUAGGGUUUUAUGGUUCUAGUUAGGCCUCGGUUGAAGCCUAGGAAUUGAUUUCUGGUUAGGAAGAAGACUGGAACUUUUGAGGGCAAGGAACCACUUUCUUUCAUCCCAAGAAACUCUAACUGGAAUCAUGCACGCAGGGAAAUAGAUGAUUUUCAGUGAAUAAAGUUGAUGAUUUAUUGGGUAAAAGUCAGUACGACUUCCUCUCAAGAAACUAAAGGGAAUCGGUCUUGCAGUGAAUAUUUUUAUUUUAACUGGAUCCAGUUAAGGAUUUUGUUGAAAACCAAUAUGAUUUUUUAAAAUAUUUUUUUUAUUGCAUGAUACGAAUCUGAUUAUGAUUAAAGAACUAUGAAUUAUGCACUUACUCACUCCCCAUUCCUCUUAUGUUUACUUGUAUUUCAGGUUCUAUAUAAAAGCAGAUGUGAUAAUCGAUUAAAUGAGAUAACAGAAAGGGCAUCUGCGGAUAAGCGCGAGGUAUAUUCCUUUCUUGUGAAAACGUGAUGCAUGUUUAUGUGAAAAGAAUUAGCUAUCAUUUGGUGGCGUGUUACAGGCAGAAUCAUUGGGCAAGAAAUAUGAAGAGAAAUACAAACAAGUAGCAGAAAUAGCAUCAAAAUUGACUGUUGAAGAAGCUAAAUUUCGUGAUGUCCAGGUAAUUAGAAAAUCUAAAUUGUUGAAAAAUAGGCUAUUUGUGAAUGGUGAGAGUUAUUGCUUACUUAUUAUGCACUACAUUUUUUAUUGCAUUGAUUGUUCUUAUUAACGAAGGACUAACAACUUUAAAGUUUAAGUUGUUGGGCUAAAACUCAAGAGGGGUUUUAUAUCUAAAAAGCACUACCCUACUUGAAGCAUGCAUGUAGGCCUGACUCAACUUAUUUUUAAGCCUAAAACAAACUUUGAUACGAGGCCUUUCUAAAUUAAUCAUGAUAUGUUUAUUGACAAAAAAUAAUAGUAGUAUUUUAUUAAAAGUUUAUUUUUGAAUUUUUUUCUGGAUAAAAAAUCAUUUUAUUAUUUAUUAUGAUAGAUAAGGGAUGAUAGUUUUUACUUCUAUGAUUUAACAUGAUUGCAUGUAUAAAAUCGGAUUCUAGACAAAAGUUAAAAAUUUAACAUAGGAAAGAAUUUUAAAAUUAAUAAUUUAAUAAGUUUACAUAAACUAAACUAAACAGAUAUAACGUUGACAACAACACCAACCCUAUAGCUUUCUGUUGUAUCCUUAUAGGAUGAAGUUUGUCAUCUUACUGAUUUUUUCUUCUUAAGAAAAAGUUUAGAAGAUUAGAGAUCAUAACACUAUUCUCCAAACAAGAGAUUCACUUUAGAAAGUAAAAUGAAAUUUAUUGUCAUGAAUAAAAGAUUAAACCAUUAAAGUUUAUAUUAGAUAAUUUAUUAUGUAUGUGGAUUCAUUUAUUAUAACAACUACUGUAGAUUCAACACUUUAAGAGGCAGUUUUCUGUUAAAAGUAUUGUUAUUCUUAAUAGAAUUGUAUCAUUUAUAAAGUAACCAUUAUAUUUUUAAAAUAUUAUUUCUAAGUAAAGUUGUUUUUGGGAGGCUUAAAUCAAGGGCUUCAUUGGCCUUGCCCUUGGGCCAACCUGCUUGGGUGACAUGCAACCACUUACACUGGCCUAAAAUUAAACUUUUAUUUAGAAUGAGGUUGAGAAGGAUCAGACUCAUGACCACUUGUCCCGGACCAACUCUCUUAAAAGCUUAAAUUGUAAAGUAAAUGCUCUUGUAUGAUUUGAUAUCUUGAAGAGCUCCUUGUAAUCUUUGUUGGUCUUAGUGGAUCUUCUUUGUUUUGCUUGUCGAGUUUGGAUGCAGGCCUGUUGUUCAUGGCUGGCCAAGUCACUAAAAUUUUGUGACUGUUUCUCUUCUUCCUAUUGUCUGUUUGCUUGUUUAGAGAGUGAAGCUCACCACUUCUUGUGGAGUAUUCAAAUGAAAGUGAAUGUAAGGGAGAGUGGAAACCUGAGGAAGCAUGUAGUCUUCCACGUGUAUUAUAUUUGUAGUGCAAGUCUACAACCCUUUUCUCGUUUUCUUGCAACAAUAAACUUGUGUCUUGGGUGGAUUAUGAAUGUCUUGAAAGUUGAAACAUUUCAAUUUUCAAUGCACCUUUAACCAUUAGUCUGUAUAUAUUUAGGAAAGGAAGGUGGAAUUGCAGCAAGCCAUCGUCAAAAUUGAACAAGGAGGUAGUGCAGAUGGCAUUCUUCAGGUGAAUUUUAUUUCUUGAAUAAAGAUGGGAAGUUCUGGGGAACCUGUCUUGUACUGUUACUGAUAUUUAGCAAAAUCUGCAGGUCCGUGCUGAACGCAUACAGUCAGAUCUGGAGGAGUUAUUUAAGGCUCUAGCUGAUCGGUGCAAGAAACAUGGGAUGGAUGUGAAGUCAAUUGCAAUGGUUCAGCUUCCUUCUGGUAAUUAUAAUCUCAUUUUGUCUCAUCAUGGCUUCUUUCUCAAUCAAUUAUUUAUAUUCUUUGUCAAUUCUCAAAUAAUCAUUCUGCAACAAUUUUAUGAUUUAUUUUGACUUUUUUACUUAACAGAUGUGAUUCUUUAUAUUAAUACUUCUGUGGAAACCUCAUUUUGUGAUCUGUAAACCUGUAUUUUUCCAAGGAUCUUCUUUUAAAACCAAUGGCAUUGCAUAUCAACUCAUUGAUAAAUUACUUAUAUUUGUUACAAGUGAAUGCAUUUUUCUCUGUUUCUAACUUUAAUUGUGGUUGUGUUUGUGUGCGUGUACCAACCUGAUGAAUUAAGGUUGGCAACCUGGAAUUCCAGAGGGAGCUGCUCUUUGGGAUGAAGAUUGGGAUAAAUUUGAGGACGAAGGUUGCCAUAAUCUUUUUUUAUCCUUACGAAAUUAUUUUCAUUUUUUGCAUGAAUUAACUUGUUUCAUUAAUUGCUUUGUUUACUUCUAGGAUUUGGCAAUGAUCUUACUUUUGACACUAAAAAUGCAUCUUCAAAACCAAAGCCAGCAUUUAUUGACGGAGAACAAAAUUUCUCUGAUGAUAAUUCUAUUCAUGGUUCACCUGUGAAUGCAAAUGGGAAGCAAGAAAAUUCUGCUAACGGUGAUUAUACAGUUGAGGAUGAAUCCUAUGCACAUAGUGAAGAAGACUUGGCCAGAAGCCCUCACGAUAGUCUAGCUGGGAGGAGUACCGUGGAGAGUCCUUCUCAAGACUUCUCAAAUCCUCACUUUGGAAAAGGUUCUGAAGCAGAUGCAGAAACACAUAGGUAAUUUCUUUUAUUUUUGUCUCGAGGCUGUGUUUGGGGGAGGGGUUGAUUUGUCAAUUCCCAAUUUUUCUGUUUCUGAAUGCAUGGCUUUGAGUGUGAAGCAUCUAUCUAGUAAUUGUGACGUUAUUAAUCUAUGGCAACAGAAGUUUUGAUGAAUCGACCUGGGGUGCAUUUGACAACAAUGAUGACAUGGACUCAGUGUGGGGUUUUAACUCUAAGACCAAGGUAACCCUUUCUAUUUAUAGCUUUAAAUUCUGAGCUGUUUGGGAUAUUAACAUAAUUAGUUUCCGUUAUUGAGUAAUAAUCGUUCUCGGGGAAAUUCUUUUAAGAUUAUUUUUAUACUAAAUUGAUGCAUGAGAUAGGCAAUGGAGGUCUUCUUUCAUUAUAAUUUUUGGAAUGGAUUUCUUAGCACAUUUACCAAAGAACGGAUGAAGGGACGUCAUUUUUCAAAGAUCAAGUCGCGUUGGUGUAAAGCUACUACCUGCUAAAAUUUUAUGUUUGGCUUUGUAGGACUCUGACUUCGAGCAGGGAGAUUUCUUUAAAUCUGAUGAUUUUGGUAUAAACCCAGUUAGAAUAGGAUCUACACAUACGGAUGGCGCGUUCCAGACAAAAAGCCUAUUUACUUUUGAUGAUUCGGUGCCUGCAACUCCAGUUUCCAAGUUCGAAAACUCUCCCAGGUACAGUGAGGCGGGGGAUCAUUUCUUUGACAUGUCAAGGUUUGAUUCCUUCAGGCACGAAAGUGGAUAUUCUCCACAACCAGAGAGGCUUACGAGAUUUGAUUCCAUAAGUAGCAGUAAGGAUUUUGGCUAUGGUAAUGAAAAGUUCACAAGGUUUGAUUCCAUAAGUAGCAGCAAAGAUUUUGGCAACAGUAAUGAUAAGUUCACAAGGUUUGACUCCGUGAGUAGCAGCAAGGAUUUUGGCUACAAUCCUGAGAAGCUCACAAGGUUUGAUUCCAUGAGUAGCAGCAAUGAUUUCGGUUUCGGUCGUCAGGGCCAUGCAAGGUUUGACUCAAUUAGUAGCACCAAAGACUUCGGUCACAGUGGUCCAUUCUCUUUCGAUGACUCUGAUCCAUUCGGCUCCUCUGGGCCUUUUAAGGUCUCUUCAGAAAAUCAUUCUCCGAAAAAGGGUUCAGAUAACUGGAGUGCAUUCUAGCCUGCAAUCCAACUCUUCCAGGGUUUUCUUUGUUUCCAUUUCCUUGAUUGUUCAUGAUAGCCUAUUUUUUUUGUGUAUAGCUAGAAGAAAAGCUGGAUGGUAAUUUUAUAUGGUGUGAUCAAUGUAUCAGUUUGAAGAGAGUUUUUCCUUUAUUCUUUUGGUAAAUGCGCGGACGUGUUGUGAAAGAUAGAUAGAUAAAAUCAAAUGUCUUGUUCGUAUCAUGGAUGUACUAUUGAGUUUAAUGGCAAGUGCAUGCAAAGUUUUUGUUUUCUUGGUUUCAUUACAUGCAUUUACAUAUGUGCUGCAUUCCCAUGGCUUUUUUCAAUGCUUGCCAUUUAACUAUCAUCACAGACAAAAUAAACUAACACCAAAGCACAUUGCUCACUCUAUUUUUCCUGCAUGUCUGCAGUAAAAUAUUAGUCUUGGUUGCCGUUCUAAGCAUUUAGUAUGGUUGGAUACCAAAAUCUUUGGAACGCUGGAUCCCCAUUAAGACUAUCCACAUGCAAAU
Molecule: long non-coding RNA, 33868 nt
Filed under: Phaseolus vulgaris (common bean)
Lineage: Eukaryota; Viridiplantae; Streptophyta; Magnoliopsida; Fabales; Fabaceae
Description: long non-coding RNA (PVUL_LNC000982)
Source: RNAcentral